This 441-nucleotide ribosomal RNA is filed under the name uncultured bacterium. Its description in RNAcentral is "partial 16S ribosomal RNA". It matches the Rfam family "Bacterial small subunit ribosomal RNA", at positions 28 to 507 of the family's 1533-position model. The record is from RNAcentral.
GAUGAACGCUGGCGGCAUGCCUAACACAUGCAAGUCGAUCGGUAAGGCUCUUCGGAGUACACGAGAGGCGGACGGCUGAGUAACGCGUAGGAACACACCCUGCAGAGGGAUAAGACACCGCAAGGUGUUCUAUUACCGCAUACGGUCUUCGGAUUACAGCAUUUAUGCGCUGAAGGAGUGGCCUGCGUCAUAUUAGAUAGUUGGUGAGGUAAUGGCUCACCAAGUCGAUGAUGUGUAGCUGGUCUGAGAGGAUGAUCAGCCAGACUGGAACUGAGACACGGUCCAGACUCCUACGGGAGGCAGCAGUGAGGAAUAUUUCACAAUGAGCGAAAGCUUGAUGGAGCAAUGCCGCGUGCAGGAUGAAGGCCCUCGGGUUGUAAACUGCUUUUAUAAGAGAAGAUUAUGACGGUAACUUAUGAAUAAGGGACGGCUAACUACGUG